Molecule: ribosomal RNA, 253 nt
Filed under: uncultured bacterium
Lineage: Bacteria
Description: partial 16S ribosomal RNA
Rfam family: Bacterial small subunit ribosomal RNA
Source: RNAcentral
UACAGAGGGUGCGAGCGUUAAUCGGAGUUACUGGGCGUAAAGGGCGCGUAGGCGGUGAAAUAAGAUUGAUGUGAAAUCCCUGGGCUUAACCUAGGAACUGCAUCGAUGACUAUUUUACUGGAGUACUGUAGAGGGUAGUGGAAUUUCCGGUGUAGCGGUGAAAUGCGUAGAGAUCGGAAGGAACACCAGUGGCGAAGGCGGCUACCUGGACAGAUACUGACGCUGAGGCGCGAAAGCGUGGGGAGCAAACAGG